UGCGUAGGUGGUUUCUUAAGUCAGAGGUGAAAGGCUACGGCUCAACCGUAGUAAGCCUUUGAAACUGGGAAACUUGAGUGCAGGAGAGGAGAGUAGAAUUCCUAGUGUAGCGGUGAAAUGCGUAGAUAUUAGGAGGAACACCAGUUGCGAAGGCGGCUCUCUGGACUGUAACUGACACUGAGGCACGAAAGCGUGGGGAGCAAACA
RNAcentral lists this ribosomal RNA (206 nucleotides) under uncultured bacterium. RNAcentral's name for it is "partial 16S ribosomal RNA". It matches the Rfam family "Bacterial small subunit ribosomal RNA", at positions 568 to 774 of the family's 1533-position model. The record is from RNAcentral.